GGGAGCUUAGCUCAGUUGGUUCAGAGCAUCUGCCUUACAAGCAGAGGGUCAAAGGUUCGAAUCCUUUAGUUCCCACCA
RNAcentral lists this transfer RNA (78 nucleotides) under Flavobacteriales bacterium UBA1986. Its description in RNAcentral is "tRNA-Val(tac)". It matches the Rfam family "tRNA". Rfam says of the family: Transfer RNA (tRNA) molecules are approximately 80 nucleotides in length. Their secondary structure includes four short double-helical elements and three loops (D, anti-codon, and T loops). Further hydrogen bonds mediate the characteristic L-shaped molecular structure. tRNAs have two regions of fundamental functional importance: the anti-codon, which is responsible for specific mRNA codon recognition, and the 3' end, to which the tRNAs corresponding amino acid is attached (by aminoacyl-tRNA synthetases). tRNAs cope with the degeneracy of the genetic code in two manners: having more than one tRNA (with a specific anti-codon) for a particular amino acid; and 'wobble' base-pairing, i.e. permitting non-standard base-pairing at the 3rd anti-codon position. Lineage: Bacteria; Pseudomonadati; Bacteroidota; Flavobacteriia; Flavobacteriales. The record is from RNAcentral.